CAGAGCCCCACGAUCAGUGCCUCUAACUUCUGCAGGGACUCCCUAGGGGCUGCCAGUGCAAUAUGGGGUCUGUCUGCCUGCCCCUAGGCCCCUGCAGGAUCAAGGAGGCUAAAUGCCCUCUGGCACAUUCAGCAGGACCAAGGAGAUGUGUCAUGAUACCAACAUCCUUUGGGCAACUGGUCCUCACUGUGUGCAAAGAGCUUGCAUGGAUGCUGGGGAUCUGCUCUGAGCCACCAAGAAGCACAGCAGCUCUGUGAUGCUGACAGAUCCUGGAAGACCUGAAUCCCUGCUAUUGAGGACACCUGGAGGUAUUCAUCUUUCCUCACACCAGCGACAUGAAUAAGGGACCUGCUGUCUGGCUUCCCAUGCCACCUCUGGAGUCAUAGCAGUGGAGCACCUGACAUACUGGGGUCCGGCCUCCUGAAACCACCUGUGCACAAGAGUGAGGCUGCAGAUUCCCUCUGCAGUCCCGCGUGAUUGUGUCGUCUUCCAGUGUUGCUAAGCACAGACACACACCACUGGGCUCAGUGCUGAGGCCAGAAUGAUGAAUAAGACAGUCUGGGGGGAGAAGACAGACCCCAAACAGAUGAUUCUAAGGCAGUACCAGUGGGAGCCAGAGUGUACCAUUUAACUGCUGGGUUCCACUCCUGGCUCUGCCACUUGCUAAUUAGAUCACCUUGGGCCACUUCAAGUUUUGGAGCCAAUAAGCCAGGUGUGUGGAUGUAUGCCUGUAAUCCCAGCACUCUAAGAAGCUGAGGCAGGAGGCGAAGCUUGGCUAAGCUGAGGCUAAGUUUGAGCUAGCCUGGGCAAUUUAGCCACCUGGUGAGACCCUGUCUCAAAAUUUAAAGAGGGGAGGAGCAGAUAUAGCUCAGUGCAAAGACCCUGGGUUAAAUCCCCAGUUAAAAAAAAAAAAGAAAGAAAGAAAGAAAGAAAAAAAGAAGGAAAUUCCACCCAAAAAAGCAACCAUAGUAGCUACCUUGUAGGUUUGCUGUUGUGCUGUGAUCUGUGAAAAGCAUCUAUCACAGUACAGGGCAUGUAGUCAUCAAUCGGAAUGGCCAGCUGCAUUAUUACUGGAUGGCAGAGCGAGGGAUGGUCAAAGAAGUGUCCAUCAAGGAGGUGGCAUUUUCUUCACGCUCUGAGCAAUGAUCUUUGCGGGACUCUGGAUUGAUCUCACACUGAUCUCGGACUGCUCUCUUUGCCCCCGCCUCCUGAUCUCAGCGGGCGGGGGAAUGUCACUGGGCCAUAUGGCCACAAGGGGGCAGGUGUGCUACUUAAUGAGCCGAAUUAGCCCUAACUGAACCAGCUUGGGGGGUGGGGGAAGGAGACCGAGGUGGGAAGACAAACCUGAAACUCUUGG
This 1357-nucleotide long non-coding RNA is filed under the name Heterocephalus glaber (naked mole-rat). RNAcentral describes it as "lncRNA (ENSHGLG00000042938.1)". The record is from RNAcentral. Lineage: Eukaryota; Metazoa; Chordata; Mammalia; Rodentia; Bathyergidae.